UCCGGUUUGUCACCGGCAGUCUCCUUAGAGUUCCCGACCGUGUCGCUGGCAACUAAGGACAAGGGUUGCGCUCGUUACGGGACUUAACCCAACAUCUCACGACACGAGCUGACGACAGCCUUGCAGCACCUGUGCAUCGGCCCCGAAGGGAAGACAGCUUUCACUGCCGGUCCAAUGCAUGUCAAGCCCUGGUAAGGUUCUUCGCGUUGCGUCGAAUUAAACCACAUGCUCCACUGCUUGUGCGGAUCCCCGUCAAUUCCUUUGAGUUUUAGCCUUGCGGCCGUACUCCCCAGGCGGGGCACUUAAUGCGUUAGCUCCGGCACGGGAGGAGUCGACACCUCCCACACCUAGUGCCCAUCGUUUACGGCGUGGACUAC
RNAcentral lists this unclassified non-coding RNA (377 nucleotides) under uncultured bacterium. RNAcentral's name for it is "contains 16S-23S intergenic spacer region". The record is from RNAcentral.